Molecule: ribosomal RNA, 254 nt
Filed under: uncultured bacterium
Lineage: Bacteria
Description: partial 16S ribosomal RNA
Rfam family: Bacterial small subunit ribosomal RNA
Source: RNAcentral
UACGUAGGGUGCAAGCGUUAAUCGGAAUUACUGGGCGUAAAGCGUGCGCAGGCGGUGAUGUAAGACAGGUGUGAAAUCCCCGGGCUUAACCUGGGAAUGGCAUUUGGGACUGCAAGGCUUGAGUGCGGCAGAGGAGACUGGAAUUCCUGGUGUAGCAGUGAAAUGCGUAGAUAUCAGGAGGAACACCGAUGGCGAAGGCAGGUCUCUGGGGCUGACACUGACGCUCAUGCACGAAAGCGUGGGGAGCAAACAGG